ACGAUGUCGAUUUGGAGGUUGUGCCCUUGAGGCGUGGCUUCCGGAGCUAACGCGUUAAAUCGACCGCCUGGGGAGUACGGCCGCAAGGUUAAAACUCAAAUGAAUUGACGGGGGCCCGCACAAGCGGUGGAGCAUGUGGUUUAAUUCGAUGCAACGCGAAGAACCUUACCUACUCUUGACAUCCAGAAAACUAUCCAGAGAUGCUUUGGUGCCUUCGGGAACUGUGAGACAGGUGCUGCAUGGCUGUCGUCAGCUCGUGUUGUGAAAUGUUGGGUUAAGUCCCGCAACGAGCGCAACCCUUAUCCUUUGUUGCCAGCGGUCCGGCCGGGAACUCAAAGGAGACUGCCAGUGAUAAACUGGAGGAAGGUGGGGAUGACGUCAAGUCAUCAUGGCCCUUACGACCAGGGCUACACACGUGCUACAAUGGCGCAUACAAAGAGAAGCGACCUCGCGAGAGCAAGCGGACCUCAUAAAGUGCGUCGUAGUCCGGAUUGGAGUCUGCAACUCGACUCCAUGAAGUCGGAAUCGCUAGUAAUCGUAGAUCAGAAUGCUACGGUGAAUACGUUCCCGGGCCUUGUACACACCGCCCGUCACACCAUGGGAGUGGGUUGCAAAAGAAGUAGGUAGCUUAACCUUCGGGAGGGC
This 645-nucleotide ribosomal RNA is filed under the name Azotobacter vinelandii. Its description in RNAcentral is "bacterial SSU rRNA". It matches the Rfam family "Bacterial small subunit ribosomal RNA", at positions 806 to 1451 of the family's 1533-position model. The record is from RNAcentral. Lineage: Bacteria; Pseudomonadati; Pseudomonadota; Gammaproteobacteria; Pseudomonadales; Pseudomonadaceae.